Molecule: ribosomal RNA, 492 nt
Filed under: uncultured bacterium
Lineage: Bacteria
Description: partial 16S ribosomal RNA
Rfam family: Bacterial small subunit ribosomal RNA
Source: RNAcentral
AGUGAACGCUGGCGGUAGGCCUAACACAUGCAAGUCGAACGGCAGCACAGUAAGAGCUUGCUCUUACGGGUGGCGAGUGGCGGACGGGUGAGGAAUACAUCGGAAUCUACUUUUUCGUGGGUGAUAACGUAGGCAAACUUACGCUAAUACCGCAUACGACCUACGGGUGAAAGCAGGGGAUCUUCGGACCUUGCGCGAUUCAAUGAGCCGAUGUCGGAUUAGCUAGUUGGCGGGGUAAAGGCCCACCAAGGCGACGAUCCGUAGCUGGUCUGAGAGGAUGAUCGGCCACACUGGAACUGAGACACGGUCCAGACUCCUACGGGAGGCAGCAGUGGGGAAUAUUGGACAAUGGGCGCAAGCCUGAUCCAGCCAUACCGCGUGAGUGAAGAAGGCCUUCGGGUUGUAAAGCCCUUUUGUUGGGAAAGAAAAGCAGCAGGUUAAUACCCCGCUGUUCUGACGGUACCCAAAGAAUAAGCACCGGCUAACUUCGUG